GGGCAUUGCGGCGUGCUAUACAUGCAGUCGAACGAGUUCUCGUUGAUGAUCGGUGCUUGCACCGAGAUUCAACAUGGAACGAGUGGCGGACGGGUGAGUAACACGUGGGUAACCUGCCCUUAAGUGGGGGAUAACAUUUGGAAACAGAUGCUAAUACCGCAUAGAUCCAAGAACCGCAUGGUUCUUGGCUGAAAGAUGGCGUAAGCUAUCGCUUUUGGAUGGACCCGCGGCGUAUUAGCUAGUUGGUGAGGUAAUGGCUCACCAAGGCGAUGAUACGUAGCCGAACUGAGAGGUUGAUCGGCCACAUUGGGACUGAGACACGGCCCAAACUCCUACGGGAGGCAGCAGUAGGGAAUCUUCCACAAUGGACGCAAGUCUGAUGGAGCAACGCCGCGUGAGUGAAGAAGGCUUUCGGGUCGUAAAACUCUGUUGUUGGAGAAGAAUGGUCGGCAGAGUAACUGUUGUCGGCGUGACGGUAUCCAACCAGAAAGCCACGGCUAACUACGUGCCAGCAGCCGCGGUAAUACGUAGGUGGCAAGCGUUAUCCGGAUUUAUUGGGCGUAAAGCGAGCGCAGGCGGUUUUUUAAGUCUGAUGUGAAAGCCCUCGGCUUAACCGAGGAAGCGCAUCGGAAACUGGGAAACUUGAGUGCAGAAGAGGACAGUGGAACUCCAUGUGUAGCGGUGAAAUGCGUAGAUAUAUGGAAGAACACCAGUGGCGAAGGCGGCUGUCUGGUCUGUAACUGACGCUGAGGCUCGAAAGCAUGGGUAGCGAACAGGAUUAGAUACCCUGGUAGUCCAUGCCGUAAACGAUGAAUGCUAGGUGUUGGAGGGUUUCCGCCCUUCAGUGCCGCAGCUAACGCAUUAAGCAUUCCGCCUGGGGAGUACGACCGCAAGGUUGAAACUCAAAGGAAUUGACGGGGGCCCGCACAAGCGGUGGAGCAUGUGGUUUAAUUCGAAGCAACGCGAAGAACCUUACCAGGUCUUGACAUCUUUUGAUCACCUGAGAGAUCAGGUUUCCCCUUCGGGGGCAAAAUGACAGGUGGUGCAUGGUUGU
RNAcentral lists this ribosomal RNA (1054 nucleotides) under Lacticaseibacillus paracasei. Its description in RNAcentral is "bacterial SSU rRNA". It matches the Rfam family "Bacterial small subunit ribosomal RNA", at positions 31 to 1052 of the family's 1533-position model. Lineage: Bacteria; Bacillati; Bacillota; Bacilli; Lactobacillales; Lactobacillaceae. The record is from RNAcentral.